UAGCCACGCGUCGGACCGUUGGAUUCAGAGGCCUCCGAACUAUCGACUCACGCGGGAAUCUAGAGCUCACUCGCCGAUUAAACGCCUCAACCACUCGAUUUAAGUUCGGCCACCCCGCGACUUCAAAGUUGCGAUUCGGCCACCUCGGGCAUCCGUUUGCCGAUCCGUCACCACCAUCGUGCUCCUCGUGUUGUGGGCUUCAAAACCCAAUAACUUGUUCCUACAUCUACCAUAGUUGGGUGGUGGGCCCACCACGAGCCACCGCGAUCCACCGUAGACCGACGGUCGAAACUUAGUGUUCGGGGUUUUGAAGUACGUUUUGAGUCUCAGAAAAUCAUCGUUUGACUUGUUGUGGAACCCGAUCAUUUUGGAUUUGUAUGGAUUUAAUUGAUUGACUCUUGGUGAGCCGUUUUAAAAUAAGCUAAGGACCUAAGGUGUGGCUUUAGCUGUUGAGCAACUUGUGGAGCACGGACUCAGUAGCAAUGCAAUAAUGGUUUAGAGUUUUCAUAUGGCUGCCUUAAAUUUAAAGUAUUCAUACGUGUAAUAAUUUCUUCUAAU
Molecule: long non-coding RNA, 558 nt
Organism: Humulus lupulus (European hop)
Lineage: Eukaryota; Viridiplantae; Streptophyta; Magnoliopsida; Rosales; Cannabaceae
Exons: 3
Source: RefSeq, a predicted model, not a curated record